Molecule: ribosomal RNA, 758 nt
Filed under: Bacillus sp. LKS-42
Lineage: Bacteria; Bacillati; Bacillota; Bacilli; Caryophanales; Bacillaceae
Description: bacterial SSU rRNA
Rfam family: Bacterial small subunit ribosomal RNA
Source: RNAcentral
CUAAUACAUGCAAGUCGAGCGGACAGAUGGGAGCUUGCUCCCUGAUGUUAGCGGCGGACGGGUGAGUAACACGUGGGUAACCUGCCUGUAAGACUGGGAUAACUCCGGGAAACCGGGGCUAAUACCGGAUGGUUGUUUGAACCGCAUGGUUCAAACAUAAAAGGUGGCUUCGGCUACCACUUACAGAUGGACCCGCGGCGCAUUAGCUAGUUGGUGAGGUAACGGCUCACCAAGGCAACGAUGCGUAGCCGACCUGAGAGGGUGAUCGGCCACACUGGGACUGAGACACGGCCCAGACUCCUACGGGAGGCAGCAGUAGGGAAUCUUCCGCAAUGGACGAAAGUCUGACGGAGCAACGCCGCGUGAGUGAUGAAGGUUUUCGGAUCGUAAAGCUCUGUUGUUAGGGAAGAACAAGUACCGUUCGAAUAGGGCGGUACCUUGACGGUACCUAACCAGAAAGCCACGGCUAACUACGUGCCAGCAGCCGCGGUAAUACGUAGGUGGCAAGCGUUGUCCGGAAUUAUUGGGCGUAAAGGGCUCGCAGGCGGUUUCUUAAGUCUGAUGUGAAAGCCCCCGGCUCAACCGGGGAGGGUCAUUGGAAACUGGGGAACUUGAGUGCAGAAGAGGAGAGUGGAAUUCCACGUGUAGCGGUGAAAUGCGUAGAGAUGUGGAGGAACACCAGUGGCGAAGGCGACUCUCUGGUCUGUAACUGACGCUGAGGAGCGAAAGCGUGGGGAGCGAACAGGAUUAGAUACCCU